Molecule: ribosomal RNA, 500 nt
Filed under: uncultured bacterium
Lineage: Bacteria
Description: bacterial SSU rRNA
Rfam family: Bacterial small subunit ribosomal RNA
Source: RNAcentral
AUUGAACGCUGGCGGUAUGCUUUACACAUGCAAGUCGAACGGUAACAGGUCUUCGGAUGCUGACGAGUGGCGAACGGGUGAGUAAUGUAUCGGAACGUGCCUAGUAAUGGGGGAUAACCACUCGAAAGAGUGACUAAUACCGCAUAAUAUCUCAGGAUGAAAGCGGGGGACCGUAAGGCCUCGCGUUAUUAGAGCGGCCGAUAUCAGAUUAGGUAGUUGGUGGGAUAAAAGCCUACCAAGCCAACGAUCUGUAGCUGGUCUGAGAGGACGACCAGCCACACUGGGACUGAGACACGGCCCAGACUCCUACGGGAGGCAGCAGUGGGGAAUUUUGGACAAUGGGCGAAAGCCUGAUCCAGCAAUACCGCGUGCAGGACGAAGGCCUUCGGGUUGUAAAGCUCUUUCUAGACGGAAGAAAACGACAUCGGUGAAUACCCGAUGUGGAUGACGGUACCGUAAGAAGAAGCACCGGCUAACUACGUGCCAGCAGCCGCGGUAAU